AGAUGUUCCCAGGACGCCAGCUAAGUCUGCCCGGCCGGCGCGCGCCGCUUCCGCUCUGGUGGGAAGGACCUCCCUUCCCCCUCUGUAGAAACACUUUCUCCAGGCCCGGCCGGGCUUGGUAAACCUCAGCCGUGCCUGGGUAGAGGACGCCGGGCUGGGCCGAGCGGGGGUGGAAUGAGGGCGUCUAGAACAGAGAAAACUAAGAUAGGGUCGUCCCCCCAGUAAUCUGGAAAACAGUGAUAGGAACAGGCUCCGCUCAUCGACAAGCAGUGCUGGCCGUUUCCUCACUGGUUUGGGAGGGAAGGCUGAGCAGAAAAAGGAUACAACCUUGUUCUCAACCACUUGCUAUCUCGUGAUUCAGGGAUUGGAUGAGUCUCUAUGGUUUGUUUUGCCCUGAAGAACAGAAGGCUUCUGUCCCAACUGGUGUUGCCAAAGCAACAUAUUAAUUCCAUGCCAUGAUCCUGGGUCAAGAUCUGCACAAUCUGAUUGGUCAUAUCACCUCGGAUGGCAAGGGAGUGGAAGUGGUCAAAAUCAUGGAGUCCCAGCUUUCGGAGACGCCUUGCAGCUGCCCGGUGAAGAAAAUGCACAAUGGAAGCCACCCAGAUGUCCAAUGAUAGUGGCAUAGUCAAAUCAAUGUGGUAUAAUCAUGA
Mandrillus leucophaeus (drill) is the source of this 650-nucleotide long non-coding RNA. RefSeq lists it as uncharacterized. The record is from RefSeq and is a predicted model, not a curated record. The transcript has 4 exons. NCBI's taxonomy places the organism in Eukaryota, Metazoa, Chordata, Mammalia, Primates, Cercopithecidae.